This 754-nucleotide long non-coding RNA is filed under the name Triticum aestivum (bread wheat). RNAcentral's name for it is "long non-coding RNA (TAES_LNC004206)". Lineage: Eukaryota; Viridiplantae; Streptophyta; Magnoliopsida; Poales; Poaceae. The record is from RNAcentral.
CCUUUUUGUUCUCUUUCUUAAUGCAGUCGUUCAUAAGAUAAUUUACAAGUACCACAACAUGCUUUUCAGGGGCUCAUAGAUAUAUACUGAUAUAUAUGUUUGUAUUACUCACAAUGUAUUAUUAAAUUCUAUUGUACAAAGAUGUUUCAAUUCUCCUCAAUUCUUUUUUUCAUCAUGUUGUUAAUGAUGCCUCAAUUCUCCUCCGCCAGAUAUGACUGCAGUGGAUCCAGGUGGCCAGAAAGAAGCGCACGACGAAGGUUCGGGCGGCAUCGAUGCCUGGGAAGAAGAGUAUGGCAUUGGCAAGGUCCAAAAUAGAUCUCUGCUUGAUAAGCUUCAAAAUCUCUCUUGUCUCAUACUGUAUGUUGUGAACUAUGUAUACUUGCAGGGCUCUUCAAAAUGCACGCGAGAGGAUUCAACAUCUUGGAGAUAUUCGAAACGGGAAGAAAGAAAUGGCUCAUGUCGACCAUGUUUAGAGCAUGUAGCCUUCUGAUGUGUGAUGUGUUCACAGAUUUCUGUCAUUUGUGGUGUUUAUUAAUGAAGUGAUGUUCACUUCUGAAGAAAAAAUGGUGUUGCAGUCUGGUUGCAUGUUAUUACUAACUUGCAACUACGAUUCAUGUAUGCAUGUUGUAUACAACCACAGCUCGUAUCUGCAUGUUGGAUACGCAACAUAGUUUGUGAAGUAGAAUCCAUUUUGUAUAUGUGCAUAUAUACGUCACAUAUCUGCAUGUGUAUACCUUUCGGAAGUGGGAACCCC